Molecule: ribosomal RNA, 433 nt
Filed under: uncultured bacterium
Lineage: Bacteria
Description: partial 16S ribosomal RNA
Rfam family: Bacterial small subunit ribosomal RNA
Source: RNAcentral
AACGAACGCUGGCGGCAUGCCUAACACAUGCAAGUCGAACGAGACCUUCGGGUCUAGUGGCGCACGGGUGCGUAACGCGUGGGAACCUGCCCUUAGGUUCGGAAUAACUCCCCGAAAGGGGUGCUAAUACCGGAUAAUGUCUUCGGACCAAAGAUUUAUCGCCUUUGGAUGGGCCCGCGUUGGAUUAGCUAGUUGGUAGGGUAAAAGCCUACCAAGGCGACGAUCCAUAGCUGGUCUGAGAGGAUGAGCAGCCACACUGGGACUGAGACACGGCCCAGACUCCUACGGGAGGCAGCAGUGGGGAAUAUUGGACAAUGGGCGAAAGCCUGAUCCAGCAAUGCCGCGUGAGUGAUGAAGGCCUGAGGGUUGUAAAGCUCUUUUACCCGGGAUGAUAAUGACAGUACCGGGAGAAUAAGCGCCGGCUAACUCCGUG